RNAcentral lists this microRNA precursor (97 nucleotides) under Ailuropoda melanoleuca (giant panda). Its description in RNAcentral is "mir-544 microRNA precursor family". It matches the Rfam family "mir-544 microRNA precursor family". Lineage: Eukaryota; Metazoa; Chordata; Mammalia; Carnivora; Ursidae. The record is from Rfam by way of RNAcentral.
UUCACCUGGGAUCUUGUUAAAGUGCAGAUUCUGGUUCAGGAGGUCCGGAGCGGGGCCCGAGAUGCUGCCUUUCUAACAAGCCCCCAGGUGAUGCCAA